AGUCAUUGGGCUGUCUAAACCCAAAGGCGCAGUGAAAGCAUGGCAAGGCACGUUUUUAACGUGCCGGGCUUGUGGGAGGAUGGCCGUCUGGCCUCGUCCUUGUGGCGAGUGUCCGGGCCCGCACUCCCGGGGCGCCUCGGCUUCGGCCGCAGGCGCACCCAGAGCGUACACGUUGGGACCCGAAAGAUGGUGAACUAUGCCUGGUCAGGACGAAGUCAGGGGAAACCCUGAUGGAGGUCCGCAGCGAUUCUGACGUGCAAAUCGAUCGUCAGAGCUGGGUAUAGGGGCGAAAGACUAAUCGAACCAUCUAGUAGCUGGUUCCCUCCGAAGUUUCCCUCAGGAUAGCUGGUGUCCGUUUUGAGAGGAGACGAGUCUCAUCCGGUAAAGCGAAUGAUUAGAGGCCUUGGGGCCGAAACGACCUCAACCUAUUCUCAAACUUUAAAUGGGUGAGACCUCCGGCUUGCUUGAAUGAAGCCGCGAGAGUCUCGGAUCAGGGUGCCAAGUGGGCCAUUUUUGGUAAGCAGAACUGGCGCUGUGGGAUGAA
RNAcentral lists this ribosomal RNA (544 nucleotides) under Episymploce hunanensis. RNAcentral describes it as "eukaryotic LSU rRNA". It matches the Rfam family "Eukaryotic large subunit ribosomal RNA", at positions 689 to 1167 of the family's 3401-position model. The record is from RNAcentral. Lineage: Eukaryota; Metazoa; Arthropoda; Insecta; Blattodea; Blattellidae.